GAUGAACGCUAGCUACAGGCUUAACACAUGCAAGUCGCGGGGCAGCAUGAAUUUAGCUUGCUAAAUUUGAUGGCGACCGGCGCACGGGUGAGUAACGCGUAUCCAACCUUCCCCUGUCCACGGGAUAGCCCGUCGAAAGGCGGAUUAAUACCGUAUGAGGUCACAUGCGGGCAUCUAAUUGUGACGAAAGGUUUGGCGGACAGGGAUGGGGAUGCGUCCGAUUAGGUAGUCGGCGGGGUAACGGCCCACCGAGCCGACGAUCGGUAGGGGUUCUGAGAGGAAGGUCCCCCACAUUGGAACUGAGACACGGUCCAAACUCCUACGGGAGGCAGCAGCGAGGAAUAUUGGUCAAUGGGCAGAGCCUGAACCAGCCAAGUAGCGUGCGGGGACGAAGGCCCUAUGGGUUGUAAACCGCUUUUACGGGGGGAUAAAGUGAGUGACGUGUCAUUCAUUGCAGGUACCCGCGAAUAAGGACCGGCUAAUUCCGUG
Molecule: ribosomal RNA, 489 nt
Filed under: uncultured bacterium
Lineage: Bacteria
Description: bacterial SSU rRNA
Rfam family: Bacterial small subunit ribosomal RNA
Source: RNAcentral